This is a long non-coding RNA of Pomacea canaliculata, 1492 nucleotides long. RefSeq lists it as uncharacterized. The record is from RefSeq and is a predicted model, not a curated record. NCBI's taxonomy places the organism in Eukaryota, Metazoa, Mollusca, Gastropoda, Architaenioglossa, Ampullariidae. The transcript has 2 exons.
AUUUGUCUGCAGGAGCAAAUUCCCAGCAAGACUCAAGCUUGGCGCCUACGCAGGUUCCCUGGAGUCGCCUGAGGGCGAGCAGCUCCUCCACUGGUGUGCAGUGGGAACACGAACUUGCAUUGCUGGACUGCUGACAGACGGUCUUUUCCAGUCAACUGCUCAAAACGAGGAAUCAGACGAUAUAACUUCUGGUUUAUUCACAUUUCAGAUUAACUACUAAAAACGAGGCAUUCGACGACAUAGCUUCCGGUUUAUUCACAUUCUUUAUUAUGGCUCGCCGAGAGUAACAGCGGAUCACUUAGCAAGAGGCUGUGUUGGUCUUGGCAGAGAGACAGCAGUCCACCUAUACACGUCCAUGGUGGGAGUAAUGUGGUGUACUUCGCUAUCGGUGUAAGGAGGUAGUCUUGCUGACAUCCACCACUUCUCAAAGGUCAUUGAAUAUAUCAUGUUUCAAAAACCACGGUAACAGGGAAGAAUUUUCCGACUUCCAUAAAGGUUUGCAGUUAUAAAGAACGGUAUGACGGUAAUCCGAGGAGAACAAAAUCGCUCCAAAGAUAGUAGUCGUCGUCGUCGUCGUCACCAUCCUCCUACUCCUCCUCAUCAUCAUCUACAACAACAAUAAUAAUGAAUAUAGCUUUCCUGCACCGACAGUAGGUAGUAAACCGGCAAAAGACGGCAUGCGACUCAUUGUAAAUUUAAAUUAUCAUAUCUAUCAUACCGUGGUUCUACAGUUUUCUACAGAAGUAUUUUAAUAUGUUGUCAAGAUGGCCGUCCUGAUUUAAUCGUGUGCUUGGACUCGUCGCUUGCAAAUUAAUGGUUAAGUUAGUUGAGCUAACAAUCCGCAUUUAUGGCAUUUUCUGCCUCCUGUACACAAAGAAAUAAGUGUAAGGGUGAUUAACCAGCUGUGUGAGAGGAGGUAGGGAGAGGAGGGGUGUAGGGAGAUGUUGUAGAUAGGGCAGUGCUCAAAAGCAGACUAUAUUUUCGCUGUAAAGUGACUGCAGAGAUACAUUCGCCAAAAGACUGAUACCCGCAGACUGCUUUGGAUAUUACUUCUCGCAAAAGUCUGUCAGUCAUUUCUUUCUGCAGGGACAGCUUCACCAUGCUAAAGAACUUGGCCAAGGUAGUGGCAUUCCUAAUGACGUGGCACCUGCUGGUGGCGCAGAAAUCACCGUUGGAGAACCCUGACUGCUAUCUUUGUCACAGAGCGUGCGAGAUCAGUGAAUGCGUCUGCAAAAACGAGUGCAUCCAUGGAACAGGGAACGACUGCAGAGGGCUGACGAGGGUACAAUUACUACUCGUGAGCAUGUUUGUGUCAUCGCUGCAAGCAUACGACUAGCAAGUGCUAUAAAGACUGCACACCUGUCUGCUAGAAGACUAGGAAGACCAGGUUAUGAACGAGAUCCUGAAACAAAACCUUAGCCACAUAACUUACGAAAUCAAUCAUACUGGUUUCAGAAUAAAACGAAUGAUUAAAUAAACAAAUAAAAAUGUA